Molecule: ribosomal RNA, 349 nt
Filed under: Boophis elenae
Lineage: Eukaryota; Metazoa; Chordata; Amphibia; Anura; Mantellidae
Description: partial 16S ribosomal RNA
Rfam family: Bacterial large subunit ribosomal RNA
Source: RNAcentral
ACGAGAAGACCCCAUGGAGCUUUAAACCCAACAGCACCCGUUUAUUUUCAUCCUCACAUAAGUUAGGUUAUGCCUGUUUGGUUUUAGGUUGGGGUGACCACGGAGNAUAAAACAACCUCCAUGAAAAAAGGACCAAAAAUCCUUAUUAGAGAAAGACAUUUCUAAAAUUAAUAAAUUAAUUUUUAAUGAUCCGAUAUUCGAUCAACGAACCAAGUUACCCUGGGGAUAACAGCGCAAUCCACUUCAAGAGCUCCUAUCGACAAGUGGGUUUACGACCUCGAUGUUGGAUCAGGGUAUCCUAGUGGUGCAGCAGCUACUAACGGUUCGUUUGUUCAACGAUUAAAACCCU